This 743-nucleotide ribosomal RNA is filed under the name uncultured bacterium. RNAcentral describes it as "bacterial SSU rRNA". It matches the Rfam family "Bacterial small subunit ribosomal RNA", at positions 8 to 796 of the family's 1533-position model. The record is from RNAcentral.
AGAGUUUGAUCAUGGCUCAGGAUGAACGCUGGCGGCGUGCCUAAUACAUGCAAGUCGAACGAGCUCUUCGGAGCUAGUGGCGGACGGGUGAGUAACACGUUGGUACCUACCCCGAAGUGGGGAAUAACUGCCCGAAAGGGUGGCUAAUACCGCAUAAUACCGUAAGGUUAAAGCAGUAAUGCGCUUCGGGAGGGGCCUGCGUCCCAUUAGCUUGUUGGUAGUGUAAUGGACUACCAAGGCGACGAUGGGUAGCUGGAUCGAGAGGUUGACCAGCCACACUGGGACUGAGAUACGGCCCAGACUCCUACGGGAGGCAGCAGUAAGGAAUCUUCCACAAUGGACGAAAGUCUGAUGGAGCAACGCCGCGUGCAGGAUGACGGCCUUCGGGUUGUAAACUGCUUUUAUAUGGGAAGAUUAUGACGGUACCAUAUGAAUAAGGACCGGCUAACUACGUGCCAGCAGCCGCGGUAAUACGUAGGGUCCAAGCGUUAUCCGGAAUCACUGGGCGUAAAGCGUGCGUAGGUGGAUGUUUAAGUGAGAUGUGAAAUCGUGUGGCUCAACCAUAUCGAUGCACCUCAUACUGGGCAUCUAGAGGACGGCAGAGGCAAGUGGAACUCGUAGUGUAGCAGUGAAAUGCGUAGAUAUUACGAAGAACACCAAUGGCGAAGGCGCUUGCUGGGCCACUCCUGACACUGAGGUACGAAAGCGUGGGGAGCGAACAGGAUUAGAUACCCCAGUAGUCC